This 609-nucleotide ribosomal RNA is filed under the name Apiotrichum montevideense. RNAcentral describes it as "eukaryotic LSU rRNA". It matches the Rfam family "Eukaryotic large subunit ribosomal RNA", at positions 67 to 670 of the family's 3401-position model. Lineage: Eukaryota; Fungi; Basidiomycota; Tremellomycetes; Trichosporonales; Trichosporonaceae. The record is from RNAcentral.
AACUGCAUUCCCUAGUACGGCGAGUGACCGGGAAAAGCUCAAAUUUGAAAUCUGGCUGUCUUCGAUAGUCCGAGUUGUAAUCUAUAGAAGCGUUUUCCGUGCUGAACUGUGUCUAAGUCCCUUGGAACAGGGUAUCAAAGAGGGUGAUAAUCCCGUACUUGACACAAUCAUCAGUGCUCUGUGAUACGUUCUCUACGAGUCGAGUUGUUUGGGAAUGCAGCUCAAAAUGGGUGGUAAAUUCCAUCUAAAGCUAAAUAUUGGCGAGAGACCGAUAGCGAACAAGUACCGUGAGGGAAAGAUGAAAAGCACUUUGGAAAGAGAGUUAAACAGUACGUGAAAUUGUUGAAAGGGAAACGAUUGAAGUCAGUCGUGUUCAUUGGAUUCAGCUAGUUCUUCUAGUCUACUUCCUUUGAACGGGUCAACAUCAGUUUUGUCCGGUGGAUAAAGGAUUUAGGAAUGUGACUCCCUCGGGAGUGUUAUAGCCUAGGUUCACAUACACUGGGUGAGACUGAGGACUGCAGCUCGCCUUUUGGCCGGGGUUCGCCCACGUUCGAGCUUAGGAUGUUGACAUAAUGGCUUUAAACGACCCGUCUUGACCAACGGACCCAA